AACAACUUUUACUUAUAAAGCAAUAAGCAAAAUUGUUACAUUACAUGCAAAAGUAGAAAAAUAUGGCUCAAAUUCUCAUGUUUGUCUAUUUUUUGAUCAUCUUUCUUUCUCUGUUUCUAGUUGAAAGCAUAAAAAUAUUUACUGAGCAUCGUUGUCGUACCGACGCUGAUUGUCCAGCGAGGGAGCUUCCUGAAUAUUUGAAGUGUCAAGGUGGUAUGUGUCGGCUUUUAAUAAAGAAGGAUUGAAU
Long non-coding RNA from Medicago truncatula (barrel medic), 247 nucleotides. RefSeq lists it as uncharacterized. The transcript has 2 exons. The record is from RefSeq and is a predicted model, not a curated record. NCBI's taxonomy places the organism in Eukaryota, Viridiplantae, Streptophyta, Magnoliopsida, Fabales, Fabaceae.